RNAcentral lists this small nuclear RNA (130 nucleotides) under Dromaius novaehollandiae (emu). Its description in RNAcentral is "U1 spliceosomal RNA (ENSDNVG00000018091.1)". Lineage: Eukaryota; Metazoa; Chordata; Aves; Casuariiformes; Dromaiidae. The record is from RNAcentral.
AAUCUUAGCUGGCAGAGGAGACACCAUGAUUAGGAGGAUGGUUUUCCUGUAAUGAGGAUCCCGCCUUUUGCUCCGGGUGAGUUGACCCAUCCGUUUUCCCAAGUGUGGGAAAUCUCCGAGCAGCAGAUAC